GAUGAACGCUGGCGGCGUGCCUAAUACAUGCAAGUCGAGCGAACAGACGAGGAGCUUGCUCCUCUGACGUUAGCGGCGGACGGGUGAGUAACACGUGGAUAACCUACCUAUAAGACUGGGAUAACUUCGGGAAACCGGAGCUAAUACCGGAUAAUAUAUUGAACCGCAUGGUUCAAUAGUGAAAGACGGUUUUGCUGUCACUUAUAGAUGGAUCCGCGCCGCAUUAGCUAGUUGGUAAGGUAACGGCUUACCAAGGCAACGAUGCGUAGCCGACCUGAGAGGGUGAUCGGCCACACUGGAACUGAGACACGGUCCAGACUCCUACGGGAGGCAGCAGUAGGGAAUCUGCCGCAAUGGGCGAAAGCCUGACGGAGCAACGCCGCGUGAGUGAUGAAGGUCUUCGGAUCGUAAAGCUCUGUUAUUAGGGAAGAACAAAUUUGUAAGUAACUAUGCACGUCUUGACGGUACCUAAUCAGAAAGCCACGGCUAACUACGUG
Molecule: ribosomal RNA, 497 nt
Filed under: uncultured bacterium
Lineage: Bacteria
Description: partial 16S ribosomal RNA
Rfam family: Bacterial small subunit ribosomal RNA
Source: RNAcentral